GACGAACGCUGGCGGCGUGCCUAAUACAUGCAAGUAGGACGCAGUUGCGAACGGGUGAGUAACGCGUAGGUAACUACCUACUAGAGGGGGAUAACUAAUGGAAACGAUAGCUAAUACCGCACAAUAGCAGAUGGACUUGCGUUGUAUUAGCUAGUAGGUAGGGUAAUGGCCUACCUAGGCAACGAUACAUAGCCGACCUUAGAGGGUGAUCGGCCACACUGGUGCUGAGACACGGCCCAGACUCCUACGGGAUGCAGCAGUAGGGAAUCUUCGGCAAUGGGGGGAACUCGGUCCGAGCAACGCCGCGUGAGUGACGAGGGUUUUCGGAUCGGAAAGCUCUGUUGUUAAGGAAGCGGUACUUAACCAGAAAGGGACGGCUAACUACGUGCCAGCCGCCGCGGUAAUAC
This 407-nucleotide ribosomal RNA is filed under the name uncultured bacterium. RNAcentral describes it as "partial 16S ribosomal RNA". It matches the Rfam family "Bacterial small subunit ribosomal RNA", at positions 28 to 526 of the family's 1533-position model. The record is from RNAcentral.